This is a long non-coding RNA of Phascolarctos cinereus (koala), 669 nucleotides long. RefSeq lists it as uncharacterized. The record is from RefSeq and is a predicted model, not a curated record. Lineage: Eukaryota; Metazoa; Chordata; Mammalia; Diprotodontia; Phascolarctidae.
CCUGAUGCAAAGGGGCAAAUCUGAUCUUACAGGUAGAAUGGGUGCUCUUCCCCUGCCCCAGAGGUCCCAAACCUUGUAAUCAGCUAUUGCUCAGGUAUUCAGGCAGAUGGGAGAACCAACUCCAGAGGAGGAAGCACAGAAGCCAGAAUGAGGAAGGAUGGUGGAGAGCAUUUGGGUGAAGAGCGAAGUCUACACACCACCUGGGCAGAAAGAGGAAACACAAGACCAGUUUAGGAACCAGAUCACAAGCCCAAUGCUGAGCACAGUGCUUGGCACGAAUUCAGUCCAAUGAACAUUUGAUCAGUCGUGCGAUGAGCCAGGCAUCGGUGAUACAGACAAAAAUGAAAAUCAUCCCUGCCCUCGAGGAGCUUACAUUCUACGGUAAGGUGACUGAGAAGUGACCCUGAAAGAUGGACAUUUCCAGUCUUGGUGGCCACCUUCCAAGUGGCUUACUGAGUUGGGGGUGGUUGUCCAGCAGGAGAGACUUCCUGAAGCUAACUACUUCUGAGGGAAGAAGUCAUGUCACUGCCAUGAGAAGCAACCUGACUCAGAAAGGACUCCGAAAGCACAAAGGAUUCUGUGGAUGGGUGGCAUCAUAGUGCACAGAGUGCUGGGAACUGGAGUCAGGAAGACCUGAGUUCAAAUCUGCCUCAGACACUAGCUGUGUGA